Molecule: transfer RNA, 67 nt
Filed under: Matsucoccus matsumurae
Lineage: Eukaryota; Metazoa; Arthropoda; Insecta; Hemiptera; Margarodidae
Description: tRNA-Ser
Source: RNAcentral
AAAUCAAAAUUAUAAAUAUUUUGAAAAUAUUUUCCAAAAAUUGAUUUUAUAAAACUUUUUUUAAUGA